This 106-nucleotide ribosomal RNA is filed under the name Peromyscus maniculatus bairdii (prairie deer mouse). Lineage: Eukaryota; Metazoa; Chordata; Mammalia; Rodentia; Cricetidae. The record is from RNAcentral.
AUCUGUGGCCAUACCAUCCUGAGAAUGCCUGAUCUCAUAAGCUAAGUAGGAUUGGGUCUGGUUAAGACUUGGAUAGGAGGAAGAGAGAUGGCAGGCAUCCCUUCUU